This is a long non-coding RNA of Strigops habroptila (Kakapo), 6128 nucleotides long. RefSeq lists it as uncharacterized. NCBI's taxonomy places the organism in Eukaryota, Metazoa, Chordata, Aves, Psittaciformes, Psittacidae. The record is from RefSeq and is a predicted model, not a curated record. The transcript has 6 exons.
UCUCCCUCUCAAGACUUUUCAGGAUGUUUUUAUCUUUUGUUUUGCAUCAUACUGUUCCAGUUUUAAUUUCUUUUAGAGGAGAGAAUCGGUGACCUUUUUCCAUAUCUUUUUUCAUCUGAAGUGUUAAAACAACCACGGGCAUUUCCAUCUUUUGAAGGAAGUGUGCUUUUGACAUAGCCAGAAAGCCACUUCAUAAAACAGUGCUUUUCUGCACUUUCACUUCCCUGGUAUUUCCAAGUAGUUGAAGUUCACAGCGAGAUUCAAUGCAUGAAAGUCACGAUAGUCUCUAAAUUCAUGCAAAGUCCCAAACUUUCUGUUUGUGUUUUAUUUUGGAGCUCAUGGCCACAUGAGCAGGAAGAGGAGUCCUCAGGACAUGCUGUCUGUAUGGUUGCUCACCCUGCCAGGUGGGGAGCACCAAGGUGUUCCAAACCACAGGCUGGACUCUCCCCACCCCCACCAUGUCUCACCUCCCCCUUUUGUGACUUGAAGGGAUGAGUUUGGGUCCUGCUCCAUAAAGUGGCGUACGUGGGAGCUGGCACAUUGCACAUCCUUCUCUCAGCCUUGGGGCUUUUUAUCCUGCAAGUCAAUGAGCACCAUUCAGAAGAACGAGGAAGAACAGGAUUGGGAGCGAAGGAUACACAAGGCACCUGGGAAGGCACUGUUUUCAGCUAAGUAACCUUCCUUACACGUUUUUUUUUCUUGCCCUGUUUUACUCCCAUUAGGAAAGCUGUAUGGCAGCCCAAGCUUUGUGCUGCAGCUGAGAGUUUGCUGGGUGAUGCAUCCAACCGUACACAUUUCUUUCUGUGCAGCGAGAGCAGGGUCGGAAAAUAUGCCCGAAUUGGCUUCAAGCCUCUGGGCAUAACUUUAUCCCAGGCCAGUGGUAACACUUGUAUUGUAAAAUCCUUUUUCCUAGGCUCACAGAACAUCUAUGGGAUAACAGAACCAAAUUGGCUCAUGAACUCAAGGACAACAAUGUGCUACAACAACGGCAGUGAGUGUCAGGACACACUCACAGGGUGAGGAAACCCUGUUAACGAGGGAAGCUGCGGCGCUGCGGGGCUGAGCCACCACCAGAUGGCAGCUGGAGCCCAGGCCUGUUCCCCCAGCAGCAGCCCAUCAGCCUGGCUCAUCUGGUGGACAAACCCGGUGGGCUGAGCCUGCCAGUGCAUCUCCUUGGGGAUCAAGAACAGCAGACGCAGCUCUCUGCUGGCCUCUGCAUAGCUGAGCUGGCUGCAUAGAGCAGCAUUUUGUACCUGCCUACUUCCAGUUCUUUUGUUUGGAUUCCUGAAAAUGGGACACGCAAUCUGACCAGCCAGCAGGUACCCAGUGAAGCCAGUCUACCCUCACUAGGGAAGAAUGUGUCUGAGCACUCAGCACCAUGCAAAGAGCAACAGCUGGACAGGGCGAAACCAAAAGGAGACUCAAUGGAAGGAAAGCUCUUUUGUCUUUGCUCGAGUUCAGCUUCAGUGAAGGCAGCCGGGCCCCAGUUUGUGAUCAAGUGAGGAUUCUUGGAGCCUGGAAGACAGAGUGCAAUACUUGAAACAGGCGUUUCUAAAUGGGACAUCGCUCACCCACCGCUCCUGGGACAGGCAGUGUCGUUACAGGAUGAUUUGGCAGGUCCUCCCUUGGCAGCAGCGUAUUUCACACACUUAGACAUGGAUGAUGGCACCAUGUCAGCACAAGAUGGAUUAAGGGUUGGAAAUCGGCUAAGAAGACUGGUUUUGCUAAGAGAUGAGCAACUAUAACAAAAAAACAAAGGUAAGGGGUAGAGGAAGGUGAGAGGAUGCUGCAUAUCCACAACCACCCAGUCUCUGAUCCUCGUUACUCCCCUUUCACCAACUAGAGCAGGAAGCCAGAGCUGUCCUGCCCCACUCAGCCCAUCAUGCUAGGGACAAAAGCAAGCAGCUGGCUUUGAACUGAGUCAGGCUAAAGCACCAAAACCUCAGCAUCUAGCAAUAUGUAACAUGUACUUCACAGAAGGUAAGCACAGCUCCUGAAGUCAGCAAGGAACGCUUGCUGUCAAGUGAGGUGCGAGGGCGUGUCCUGCCUACUGGUCUGCACUCUGUUUUCCCUCCCCUUACUAAAAUCCCAUUGACCCAGAAAGUGAUCGUAUUCAGGAAUUCACACUCAGCCUCUAAAGGGGCACUAGGUGCCUUUGUGUUCCGAGACAUUCCAGCACAUCAACUUGACUAUUUCGACUUUUUUCUCUGGCUAAUAGAAACGCCUGUUACACCUGACAAAGCCCUUGAGGAUUGAAAAUUAGUUCCUUUGAAAAUUCUCUGUGUGGAUUAUAGUAACAGCAUUGUAAACCUACAAUAUUUCUUUCAUUUUUUUAUGUUUGUGUGUGCGCAUAAAGGUAUAUACACAGUAUAAAAAAGCAAUAGUUUUAGGAAUACAUUCAAGUCAUAAAAUUCCUAAAAUGCAUUUUGAUCAUGCCUGUGUCCAUUUUGCAUAUUCAUAUAGAAUGUACUGGCUGCAGGUUCUCCAUCUCUGAAAAUGGCAAGAAUAACUUCAGUCUGGAUUUAUCUUUCACAGUCAUUUUUUUUCCCAAUUUUCCAAUAAUAUUUAAGCUUUUAAUGCUAUACAAGCUGUAGGCAAGGUGUUCCAGUGUUUGAAUUCACUACAUCUCUGUGUUAUCUCUAAUAAAUACAACACAGGUUGCAGUCUCCAGCCUCCUGCAAAAUCUGUGGCAUCCUUUCAGUGCCUGCCUGUGAGUGAAGUCAGUGCUGAGCACAUUGCUCACUAUGUGUAGUCACAGCAAAACACCACGUGCACUACUCACCAUUUUUUCUCUCUCCAGCUCCAAACUGAAGCGAUCUUGUAAUUCAACUUGAGUCUGAAGUCUUUUCUUCUCUUCCUCAGCAGCACGAGCAGCUGCUGCUUCUAGUUGCUGGAAAAGAAGGGCAGGGGGUGGGGAGAAAAGAGAGGGGAACAACAACUUGUCAAAACUAAACCGUUUGGAGGGAACAGAAUAUUAAUUAACAAUUUUUGGUUUUAACAGAAAUGGAAGAAACCUUCAAAAGCAUUAAGGCACUAGUGUUUGGGGUAUUUUUAAUGUCUGAGGCUAUUCUCAAUCUCUAAAUGUGCUUUUUAAUCUUGUUAUUUGCAAGACAAAUUUUAAAUUUACCAAUGAAAUUAUCAGAAUUCCUCCAAGUUUUUUGCCCAACCAACAGAAACCACUAUUAUUUCCUUCUCUACCUCAUACGGGAUAGAAAACUACUAUGGAAACCCACAUCCCAGGCAGCAGGACUGCACAGGAGUUCCAAUAGCGAAAACAUGCCAGCGUGCACAGUUCAUACAGAAACAGAAGUGAGAAGCACUAAAUUGCCAUGGGAAAGCAGAAGUGCCAUAAGCUUUGACUGUAAGAAGUGAUUGUGCUAUUGUGAAUCACAUCCCUUUGACAUCCCCUAAAUUGCCAUGUAAGGAAAAUAAAAUCCUAGUUGAUGAUCAUCACUUGCAAUUAGGGGGAAAAUUAGCCAAGGCCUGGGAACAGCUAACAAGGAGGUACCUUCACACCUCCUUGCAAGUUAUUUAACUUUUUUUGCGUCUUGAUUUUACAAAUAAAGAUAGUUGUUACAGUUUUAUAUUUCAUCAGGAUUUUGAUGGAAUGAAUUUUUAGAAUGCAAGGAAAGUCAGAAAUAUACAAAUACCAGCCAACACUUUAGCAAUACUGAAAACACAAUAAUUCUUUCACAUAGUUUUUCUAAGAAACUUAUCUGAUGCUUCAGAGGAAACAGAAAGCAAGCAUUCUUCUUUUGUAAUAUGUCAGGCUGGUGAAUUUGUUUCCACAGACCUUCAGUAAGAGCAGGACACCCAACAUCUUUAGUAUUUUUGGAAGGUACUGCAUUUAAACCAUCUUCCUGCACACAACCUAGAUGAACUAAUGAGAUGCCUACAUGAUUAAAACUGCCAAGCUGAAACUUUCAUUCCUUUAAGUGCAGAGAAAAAUGAGAAAUAAUAGAGGGGAAGGCUCCUAGUUUCUGUUUUUAAGCUGUAGAAGAUAGUACAGAAUUGCUCUCCUUUGAAAGGCUUAAAUGAUGCCAACCUUUCAGAAGUAGAAUUGCUCCUCUGCCAGAACAUUUAAAAGCAUGUAAUUGUAGUCAGAUCCAAGACGCCUACUUAAGUGAAAUUUUCUUUUGGUUUCCUUCCCUACUUUGAAAUUAAACAAACAUUGCCAAUACUGAGCUGAGAGGGCGAACGUGCAGAGCAACAGGCAAGGGUGGGUGCUAGGCUUCUGCCAGAGCUCAGCAAGAAAAUACACUGCUUGUCUGCUCCAUCAGCAACUUCCUGCUUACUUCAUGUCAGAGGACAUCAGUUCCUGUCAGGUAAGGUUACUCAUGACGACUCUGCAGUCUAGGGGAAAGUCCCGAAUGUUGGGGUGGGUGGAAAGGGGGAAUCCACAGGAACACGAUUCCAGCAGGGGUUAGUUAGCAAACACAGAGUCUCUGUAGCCCAUGGAGGACCCCCAAACUGAAACAGAAAGGGUGCACAAGUCUUGUGCAUGCUCCCUUGGUAAUAAAAACUUACCUUUCAGUCUGUUCAAUAUGUGUAGCUCAAAAUUCCAUUUUAAAAAUACGGAAAAAAAUCUAUUGUAGAUAAAGGCUCUUAUUCUUCUGAAAUUUUUUAGUGCAGGAGCUAUCAAAAUACAAACCAGUCUCAGAGUGCACUUUGGCAGAUGCUGCAUAAAGUGGCUCACUCCAUCAGGAGGCAAAUCUAACUGUAGGCUUUCCAGAACAAUUCAGUUUCCUGAACCAUUCACAAAGCCUUUUCCUUGAAGAACACUUUUCUAACUAGUCAAACACUAAGUUCCUCCAACACAGUACCCCCCCGCACUAACUUUCACUUAGUCAAAGUGCAGUAGUUCAUGUCAGAGACUAAGCCACUUCCCUUGAGAAAUCAUUUUAAUACAGCCCACUUCAAAAGAUGCUUCUUGCCGCAACUCUCUUCAGUUUAUCCACUGUGAUUUCUACAAAACUCCCUGGAGCCCGCCAACAUCCCCUUGCUCAUUUGGUGUUGCUCUCACGUUCUCUCCCCUCCCUUUUCUCCAUAAAAUAAACUCAACACAGAAAUCCAGCCCUAUGAUUUCUGUUAACAAGUGUAUUAUUACUUAUCAGCAACUUGCAGGUAACACAGGUUACCCUUUAAAGCAUAUUUUGCAUUCUGAAUAUUAAACACAUGGCAGAAUAUAGGUGAUCAAAUUAAAUUUAAAAAUGUUUUUCCACUGUCAGACUCUAUUUAAGGCAAACAGAAUAAUACCCACAUCAGUGGUGUCAGUGCAAAAUUAACUAAAAAGCCAAAUUUCUCUUCACCACAAAUUGUGUCUUAAUGAGAAGACUUUUUAAAAGAUACAUUUUGGAUUACUUUAUUUGCUUUCUAGACUCACCAGCUCUAACAUGUUCUCACAAUAUUUACAGCUUCCCCCCACUGCAAAGAUUAUUAAAGUUUCUUCUAAUUCAGGGCUAAAAUUAGAGUGGGUUUUAUUUAUUAAAAACUUGGGCAAUGAUGCAGACUUGUCCUAAAUGGGAAUGCAAAAAACCCAAAUCAAUUCAGGAAGGCAGUGAAUGAAAUGCUUUUUAGGCUAAGCACAGAACAAAGACCUGGCUUGCUCUAGCAGCAGGGACUCAGCAGCCGAAACGUUAGGUAGCAGUGGCAAGGGAGGCAUUUGAUGGUGAUCUAGGCUACUUCCAAGGCCCACUCCUCAUUAAGAGGUAUCAUGGCAAUGAAAGCCAUAGUAACUCUUCCUGCAAGCCUUUAAACAGAAAAGCUAGAAAGUAUAUCUGGAUACUAAUCAAGUCUCUGUGGAGAACUAUUGCAGAUAUAAGUUCCAAACUACAAAGAUCCAUAAGCAUGUUCCAUCUACUGUUAAGAGUGUGCAGGGACAGCAAAGGCACCUUGGUGUCUCCUGCCAGUUGUUUCACUAAAACGCCGUCUACAAGGAAAAUAACGCAUUCAGCAAGUCUACUGCUAAUACUCAGAGAUUUCUAGUCCAAUUCUCAGGCUUUCAGAAGUCAAUCCAGCACUUACAAGGAACAUACAUUUAAACAGUUUAUAAAUGGCUACUAUGUGUCUCAGCUCUGUAAAUCUCUUACAAACUACUCUAAUAAAAUUACACCUAUACAUAUUCACAA